RNAcentral lists this long non-coding RNA (628 nucleotides) under Mus spicilegus (steppe mouse). Its description in RNAcentral is "lncRNA (ENSMSIG00000015412.1)". The record is from RNAcentral. Lineage: Eukaryota; Metazoa; Chordata; Mammalia; Rodentia; Muridae.
CUGGGGCCCAUCUAUCCUGUAGCUCAGGGUGCCAGCUGAGCUGUGCCCAUGGUGACUGUGUGCAUGUACAAGAAGGGGCCCUGGUGAGGCUUCAGUGAGUGGCUGGAUGCAAAGUGCGUGGAGCAGAGACAACUGCCAUUGCUCCCCUGGGGCUGAUUUAUAGCCAUGAGGUCACCCCUUGGACAUUGGACACUGACAACCUGGCAGUCACUAACACUUGAUCUUAAGUCCCUUUGCUUCAGAGUUCACUGUAGAAGGAGCUGACGGGAGGUGGCAUGAAGGAUCUAGCCACAGUUCAAGCACUGGCCGGUGCUCUCCGCUGAGUGUUUCCUAGGAUGAAUUACAGCCAGAGAUCAGCUUGAAGCCCAGGCCUUACAAGCAACAGGAAAGAACACUUCCCGGAACUGAUAGAACGAGGUGUCAGAAGAGGCCUCCAUGGGGACUCCAUCAUCCCACCUCCGCUAUAUGGGGAGACCUGGGAUCAACACCUAUGCCUCACUGUUGAAGCCCAACCAGAAGCUGGAAGACAAGGGACACUAGGAGUGGACAACGAAGGGCACCCUGGAAGGGCCCAGAGCAGGGUGGGAUGUUGUGAGGGACAGGAGAAGAUCACCAGGAUAUCUGCAUU